GUUCUGAACACGUGUUUAAUAAAGAAAGUAAAAAAAAACAAAAAACAAAAAAAAGCCUCAUGUCACAUGACAUCCACUCCCUCGCUCUGCAGCGGGGCGCCACGCGCUAGCACCUGGCAAAGCUAAUUGAUGUGACGUGUUACCUUGCAAGCAAGAGCUAGCAUUUAGCUCUCCAUGCUCUCAUGGAAGUGAUGUUGAGCUGUUGCAUGUAUUGGCAGAAAAAGCUCCUCAGCUGUGAUUUGGUGGAUUAUACUGUUCACAAACAGUCCAGGGAAUGACGUCUGUAGAGCUGCUGACUUGUUUGACUGACAGCGACCUGCAGGAGUCUGUACUUAAGGCCGCAAAACCUUUUUAAAAAGUUGGUCUUCACUAAAGUUCCCACCGCAUCCGUGGAGAGGACCUUUUCAGUUAAAGACCUACAGCCAACAGAAUGGACCAGGCUUUCCUCCUUGGUUCAUACUUCUACUGAAAAGGAAAGACUUAUGAAACUUUGGAAUACACCUACAAGGAAGACUUCUAUACAACUUGACACCUUCGUCCAGGGGGAUAGACGCAUGGAUCUUCAUCUACUGACAAAGGAAGUGCCUCCUUAACCUCAAUAGAAGCUUCCAAUGGGACCACGGCGAGAGGGAAGGAAGUUUUCCCGUGGUAUCACACAAGAGACUAGUCUUCCACGGGAGGAAAAAUGAAGCGAAUAAAUAAAGAGAAAAUCGAAUUCCUUCAGCCGUUGCGGGAGUGCCAGCCAAUGAAUCAGCAGAAUAAAUUCUCUCCAGAGAUAAACAAACAUGAUAUUUCAGCUGGGAGCUACGGGGACGGAGGGGCCCGCUGUCGCUCUCGUAAAGUUCAGGGCGCUCCGGACCGUAAAAAGGAGCCGCCUUCUCAAUCAGGAAAGCCUCUGGCAGGGAGGCCUUUACAGCUGGAGCUGUGUGAUGAAAACGCACAGGAAGCCUCGCGCACACAUGCCCUCGAGCAGGACUUUAACACCGCAGAUAUAUAGCCUCAUAUAGAAAGCCAUUAAAGUGGGAUUUUGGAGCACAAGUGUCUCCCAACACACUGUCAACACACUAAGUGCUCAUGGGCUUGAUUUACACGACUGUGUGCGACACUGUACCUCAAUGCUGUAACAAUAAAACAUUGCUACCUGAUUGGAGGGACAUGCAAAAUAAACCUUGAACUAUGAACCUUU
Sebastes umbrosus (honeycomb rockfish) is the source of this 1186-nucleotide long non-coding RNA. RefSeq lists it as uncharacterized. Lineage: Eukaryota; Metazoa; Chordata; Actinopteri; Perciformes; Sebastidae. The transcript is spliced from 2 exons. The record is from RefSeq and is a predicted model, not a curated record.